This 439-nucleotide ribosomal RNA is filed under the name uncultured bacterium. RNAcentral's name for it is "partial 16S ribosomal RNA". It matches the Rfam family "Bacterial small subunit ribosomal RNA", at positions 339 to 795 of the family's 1533-position model. The record is from RNAcentral.
CUACGGGCGGCUGCAGUGAGGAAUAUUGCACAAUGGGGGGAACCCUGAUGCAGCAACGCCGCGUGGAGGAUGACGCAUUUCGGUGUGUAAACUCCUUUUAUAUGUCAAGAAAAUGACGGUAGCAUAUGAAUAAGCACCGGCUAACUCCGUGCCAGCAGCCGCGGUAAUACGGAGGGUGCAAGCGUUACUCGGAAUCACUGGGCGUAAAGGACGCGUAGGCGGGCUUGUAAGUCAGGUGUGAAAUCCUACAGCUUAACUGUAGAACUGCACUUGAAACUACGAGCCUAGAGUAUGGGAGGGGGAGAUGGAAUUAGUGGUGUAGGGGUAAAAUCCGUAGAUAUCACUAGGAAUACCUAAAGCGAAGGCGAUCUCCUGGAACAUAACUGACGCUAAGGCGUGAAAGCGUGGGGAGCAAACAGGAUUAGAUACCCGCGUAGUC